This 294-nucleotide long non-coding RNA is filed under the name Carica papaya (papaya). RNAcentral describes it as "long non-coding RNA (CPAP_LNC005470)". Lineage: Eukaryota; Viridiplantae; Streptophyta; Magnoliopsida; Brassicales; Caricaceae. The record is from RNAcentral.
AAUUUGGUAAAAUAUUCAUUUAUAGAAUUGUUACCCUGAAUGGGCAAAAAUCACAAUUAUUGAAGUAUUGAAUAGGUGGCAAGAAAUGGAUGGCCAAGAUUGCACUGUCUGAAGCCGAUUCAAUGGCUCACAACUCAAAUCCAUUUAAAUGGCUUAGAUUAGAUCUAAUGAGAUUGAAUGGUUGGGAAAUUUGAUAUUUACAAAAACCAAUUUAGGGUUUCUUUUAUUUUGAAGAAGAAGAGCCAACAUUGAGAGAGAGAACACUAAAAUCAAAAGAGAGAGAGAGAGAGAGAG